RNAcentral lists this ribosomal RNA (788 nucleotides) under uncultured bacterium. RNAcentral's name for it is "bacterial SSU rRNA". It matches the Rfam family "Bacterial small subunit ribosomal RNA", at positions 8 to 796 of the family's 1533-position model. The record is from RNAcentral.
AGAGUUUGAUCCUGGCUCAGAGUUAACGCUGGCGGCGUGCCUAACACAUGCAAGUCGAGCGAAGAGUACCAGAGUACCGGGCUCUUAGCGGCAGACGGGUGAGUAAUACUUAAACAAUCUGCCCUCGAAUGGGAGACAACCAAGCGAAAGUUUGGCUAAUACCCCAUACAAUCUUCUCCAGGCAUCUGGAGGGGAUGAAAGGCCCGCAAGGGUCGUUCGAGGAGGAGUUUGAGUCCUAUCAGCUAGUUGGCGGUGUAACAGACCACCAAGGCUAUGACGGGUAGCCGAUCUAAAAGGAUGACCGGCCACAAGGGCACUGAGACACGGGCCCUACUCCUACGGGAGGCAGCAGUGGGGAAUUUUGGACAAUGGACGAAAGUCUGAUCCAGCGACGCCGCGUGAAGGACGAAGGUUUUCGGAUCGUAAACUUCUUUUGCAGGGGACGAAUACGCGCAAGCGUUUGACGGUACUCUGCGAAUAAGCCACGGCUAACUACGUGCCAGCAGCCGCGGUAAUACGUAGGUGGCGAGCGUUACUCGGAAUUACUAGGCGUAAAGCGCGUGUAGGCGGGAGCUUAAGUUUGCUGUUAAAUCUCACGGCUCAACCGUGAAAUGCCGGCGAAUACUGGGCUUCUUGAAUUCGGUAGAGGAAACUGGAAUUCCAGGUGUAGCGGUGAAAUGCGUAGAUAUUACACAGAACACCAAUUGCGAAGGCAGCUUACUAAACUGUUACUGACGCUGAUGCACGAAAGCGUGGGGAGCGAACAGGAUUAGAUACCCUGGUAGUCC